UUCGGGGCGGGCCGUGGCAGGGAGCCUCUCGGGGCUGCCGGUCUAUUGGUUAAACGAACCGGUUUUGCAACCUUGUCAUGUGCCUGCCCCAGC
RNAcentral lists this non-coding RNA (93 nucleotides) under Chromobacterium sp. LK11. Lineage: Bacteria; Pseudomonadati; Pseudomonadota; Betaproteobacteria; Neisseriales; Chromobacteriaceae. The record is from RNAcentral.